CUACGGGAGGCAGCAGUGGGGAAUAUUGGACAAUGGGCGAAAGCCUGAUCCAGCCAUGCCGCGUGAGUGAUGAAGGCCCUAGGGUUGUAAAGCUCUUUCAACGGUGAAGAUAAUGACGGUAACCGUAGAAGAAGCCCCGGCUAACUUCGUGCCAGCAGCCGCGGUAAUACGAAGGGGGCUAGCGUUGUUCGGAAUUACUGGGCGUAAAGCGCACGUAGGCGGAUUGUUAAGUGAGGGGUGAAAUCCCAGGGCUCAACCCUGGAACUGCCUUUCAUACUGGCAAUCUUGAGUCCGGAAGAGGUGAGUGGAAUUCCGAGUGUAGAGGUGAAAUUCGUAGAUAUUCGGAGGAACACCAGUGGCGAAGGCGGCUCACUGGUCCGGUACUGACGCUGAGGUGCGAAAGCGUGGGGAGCAAACCGGAUUAGAAACCCUAGUAGUCC
Molecule: ribosomal RNA, 440 nt
Filed under: uncultured bacterium
Lineage: Bacteria
Description: bacterial SSU rRNA
Rfam family: Bacterial small subunit ribosomal RNA
Source: RNAcentral